Camellia sinensis is the source of this 1401-nucleotide non-coding RNA. Lineage: Eukaryota; Viridiplantae; Streptophyta; Magnoliopsida; Ericales; Theaceae. The record is from RefSeq and is a predicted model, not a curated record.
UCUUUUCUUUUCUUGUAGUUCUGUGUUGGUAGGGGAUAGUUUAGCUUGUCCAAUUGCUCUUUCUUUCUUUAUUUUUGAUCGGCAACAACAAAAAAGAAGAAUAUUAUUAUUAAUGAAAACAAAGAUUACAAGAAACUAGAGGACAAGGAAUCCUCCAAAGAAGUAAAAAGCAAAAUGAAAGUAACAACACAUCAUGCAGCCCUUCACACAGUCCAAUUGCUAUGUUUCCUUCACUUGACAUGAAAUUAGGUCACCAAAGUAGUGGCAUCUGUGUUUGCUGUUUGCUGUUUGUUGUUGAGCCCAUCUCGAUAUGAAACAUUAUAUCCAAAUGUGGAAUGCUGUCAAAGUUGUUUUUGAGGCUUUUUGUUUACUUACUUGAACCUCCUCGGGUUCACUUUCGAAAUAUAUCCUUCUGAUAAAUGAUGUAUGUGUGGAAUGUGUUUUCUCACAGAUUUGGCAAUUCCAAUAUCCCAAUCUUAAAUUCUUCCAUUUGUAAUCUGUCAAAUUAGCUUUACCUUGAUUAUUUUUCUCUUCCUUUGCUGAACUAUGCUGUUACACUCUAGAUUUGUUUAAUUUUUUUAUUUAUUUAUAUUUUUUAUAAAACCAUUGUUGUUCCUUUAAUAAGUACUGUUGAAUUGAUCCUUUUAAAAUCAACAUAGUUGUAAACUUCUGUCUACUAUUUAUGCAAUAUGCUGCUUUGUUUGCUUUAUUUGCAGUAAUGUCCCCUGGAAGAAGUUCACCAGUAAGCUUCCAGGGUUCCCCAGAAUCGAUUCAAGCAGCCAACUCCGGUUUUGCCUCGGUUGGCUACCACCAGAAUACAUCUGCAAGUGAUGCCAGUAAUUUUGGUUCUGGCUCACCAAUUUUGGCGGAGCUGGUUUUUGGUUCAGAUCCUGUGCUGAGGUGAGAUAAGAUGCAGGAUGAAAUGGUAGAUCUAUGGGAAUUGAAUUGAAAGUUCGUAGCCAGUCUAUAAUGAAGAAUGGUCCUUGCAGUUGUGCCAACCGAUCUUUACAAUUCGCAGCUUCUUCACCAUUGUUUGUUAAUCAAGAUCAUGGGGUGAGUUAAAAUACCACACAUGCUCGGGUAUAUGAAGGAUUGAAUUGUUGCCUUGACAACCAACCUGGCCAAAUUGUUUUGCCACGGUUUUGCCUGUGAAGGUGGUGUGCAGGUGUUUUCCAAGUGUUUGGCUCUGCAAAUUUUAGAGAGAAUCACUAGAUGUUACCCAUUUUCUUGUUUGUUGAAUGUGUAUUUUAUAUUAUUCAGAUUCAGCCAGGAAGCCAAAUUAGUACCACCACUGAUGCUUGUUCUAUAGUAAUCAAUUUUUAUUGAACAAUGGAAGCUAAUUUUUUGUUCUAAUGAAUCAUAUGAUGACAAUGUCGUGUAUACAUUGUUUGACAUCUCCAA